RNAcentral lists this long non-coding RNA (1107 nucleotides) under Mytilus galloprovincialis (Mediterranean mussel). The record is from RNAcentral. Lineage: Eukaryota; Metazoa; Mollusca; Bivalvia; Mytilida; Mytilidae.
GGAGAACUUAUUUCCAUAAUGCUUUACUAGUCUUUUAUUCAAAAUAGAGCUAUAUAAUUUUGCUAGACAGUUUAAAAUAGAAAUACCUCUAUAGUUACAUAUGUCUUCUUUAUCUCCAGACUUAUGGAUUAAAACAAUAAAAGCUUUUUCCAGCUGGUGGGGUAAAUACCAGAUGAUAAAAUAAGAUUAAAAAGUUUAACUAUGGCUGUAACUGUAACAAUGCUACUAUAUUUUAUAAUUUCAUUAGAUAUUAAGUCAGGUCCAGCACUUUUCCCUGAUUUUAAUUCUUUUAUACAGUUCUUUACUUCUGAUAUUGAAAAUGGACUAUCAGUACAAAUAUUAUGUUCUAAAGUACUCUCAAGCAUAUUUAAAUCUUUUUUAACUUUUUCUUUAAAAGAGUUAUCAUAUUUUUCAGCUUUACCAAGAUUUUGAAAAUGUUCUUCAUAGUUAUUUAAUUUAAUAUUUGAACAAUGAUCCUGUUUAGUGUCUUCAUUUUUUAAUUUUUUAAGGAGUUCCCAAUAUUUUUUGGGGUCAUUUUCUUGCAAAUUUGUUAAUGUUUCAUAUAAGUUCUUUUUAAAUAUAAUUUUCUUUCUCUUUACUAAUUUUUUAAGUUUUUUAGCAUGUGUAAAAAAAUUACAUUUUAGCUCUAAAUUAAAUGGUUCUCGUCUCAGUUUAGCUCCUUUUGCUUUAAUAGUUUUUUUAAGAUCACGUACUUCAUGGUCAACCCAUGGUUUUCUGUUUAGUAUUUUUUGUUUAACUUUUUUAUAUCUUACAAUUUUACAUGAUUUAUUUGCUAGGCUCUCAAAAAUAUUUUUUAUAUCAGAAGUUGCCUUGUCAAUUCCUGAAAAAGUUUGUUCAAACUGUGAGUCUUCAAAAUCUCUAAUUUGUUGUUUAAUAAAAUUUUCCCCUAGUACUUCAAUCAUUUUGUCUCUUGAUGUAUUCUCCCAUCUAUAUUUCACUCCUAUCUGAGUAAAGUUUUUAUGACUUUUAUGUUCUGUGUGACAUAUAUUACAUUUCAGUAUAACAGAUAUAGGGACAUGAUCUGACAAAUAUGUUGGUUCGCCAAUAUAAAAAUAUUCGAUAGAGGACAUCAAAUCCAUGUCAGAC